GUGUUGUUGGGUAGGGGAGCGUUCUGUAAGCCUGCGAAGGUGUACUGUGAGGUAUGCUGGAGGUAUCAGAAGUGCGAAUGCUGACAUAAGUAACGAUAAUGCGGGUGAAAAACCCGCACGCCGGAAGACCAAGGGUUCCUGUCCAACGUUAAUCGGGGCAGGGUGAGUCGACCCCUAAGGCGAGGCUGAAAAGCGUAGUCGAUGGGAAACGGGUUAAUAUUCCCGUACUGGUGGUAACUGCGAUGGGGGAACGGAGAAGGCUAGGUUGUCCGGGCGACGGUCGUCCCGGUUCAAGCAGGUAGGCAGAGUGAUUAGGCAAAUCCGGUCACUUAAUGCUGAGAUGUGAUGACGAACCACUAAGGUGGUGAAGCAAUUGAUGCCCCGCUUCCAGGAAAAGCCUCUAAGCUUCAGGUUACCAACAAUCGUACCCCAAACCGACACAGGUGGUCAGGUAGAGAAUACUCAGGCGCUUGAGAGAACUCGGGUGAAGGAACUAGGCAAAAUGGUGCCGUAACUUCGGGAGAAGGCACGCUGGCGGUA
This 540-nucleotide ribosomal RNA is filed under the name Proteus mirabilis. RNAcentral's name for it is "partial 23S ribosomal RNA". It matches the Rfam family "Bacterial large subunit ribosomal RNA", at positions 1218 to 1759 of the family's 2925-position model. The record is from RNAcentral. Lineage: Bacteria; Pseudomonadati; Pseudomonadota; Gammaproteobacteria; Enterobacterales; Morganellaceae.